AAAUUUGGUCAGUAUCAAUUUUUUAUUGUGUAAUUUAAUUUGGGUUUUACUUUUGAGUUUGACACUUCUAACUUAUACUUAUGUUAGAGAUUUAAGCGAGUUUAUGCAUGACUUUGGAGAUAAUUGUGUCUAGAUUAUUCUUUUGUUAAUGUUUUUCACUUUUGUGUUGAUUUUGGGUGAGUAGGCUAGGGAUAAGCUUGAGAAAU
This 206-nucleotide unclassified non-coding RNA is filed under the name Hevea brasiliensis (rubber tree). The record is from RNAcentral. Lineage: Eukaryota; Viridiplantae; Streptophyta; Magnoliopsida; Malpighiales; Euphorbiaceae.